Molecule: long non-coding RNA, 984 nt
Organism: Symphalangus syndactylus (siamang)
Lineage: Eukaryota; Metazoa; Chordata; Mammalia; Primates; Hylobatidae
Source: RefSeq, a predicted model, not a curated record
GAGACACCCGGCCCCGUGACGCGCCCGGGCCCCAGCCGCCCUCCUCAGGCGGGGCCCGUCAGCCCGCGUCCCCCUGUCCGGGUCACAAUGGCAGCUCGAGACUGGGAAACAGUCGCCACGGAGGCGGGAGCCCCGGGCCGCAGCACCAUCCCCAUCGCCCCCUCCCGCAGCCUGUUGCAAUCAUCAAGGCAGAAGUAUAAUAAUCACAAAGUACUAUUCAUGGAGUGAAAGGCUGGAAAUACUAGUGACGCACCUUCACUUCCGGGCCCAGGAUUCCAAGUCUCCCGCCUCACCUCCCGCUGGCAUCCCUCGAGAAUGGAACAGGCCAUUCGCCACGGAGGCGGCGAGCGAGCGAGCAACCUUGCGCAUGCGCAGGACUCGCAGCGUCCUCGGCGCCCGUGGACUUGGGGGUUUUGGGGUUCGGGGCUACUUGGUGAACGCUGUUCAGAGAAGGCGCUGAUCUAAGCUGAGGUGUUGUCUCAGACCUUACCGCCGAAUUCUAGACGGAAAAAAUUGUUGAAACAACUGGUCCAGCCUCCUUCAUGUCACAAUUAUGACUUGUCAGACGAGUCUCACUCUGUUGUCUGGGCUGAAGUGUAGUGGUGCAAUCUCGGCUCACUGCAACCUCCGCCUCCCUGGUUCAAGCGAUUCUCCUGCCUCAGCCUCCCCGAGUAGCUGCAACUACAGGCGUGCACCAUCGCACACUGUAUUUUUAAUAGAGACAGGGUUUUACCAUAUUGGCCAGGCUGGUCUCAAACUCCCAACCUCAAGUGAUCAUCCUGCCUCGGCCUCCCAAAGUGUUUGGAUUACAGGCCUCAAACACUACUCUUUUUUUUUUUUUUUUUUUUUUUGAGAUGGGGUCUCGCUCUGUCGCCAGGCUGGAGUGCAGUGGCACCAUCUCUGCUCACUGCAAGCUCCACCUCCCGGGUUCAAGCAAUUCUCCUGCCUCAGCCUCCUGAGUAGCUGGGAUUACAGUUGCAUUCC